RNAcentral lists this ribosomal RNA (465 nucleotides) under Vreelandella stevensii. Its description in RNAcentral is "partial 16S ribosomal RNA". It matches the Rfam family "Bacterial small subunit ribosomal RNA", at positions 338 to 795 of the family's 1533-position model. Lineage: Bacteria; Pseudomonadati; Pseudomonadota; Gammaproteobacteria; Oceanospirillales; Halomonadaceae. The record is from RNAcentral.
CCUACGGGAGGCUGCAGUGGGGAAUAUUGGACAAUGGGGGCAACCCUGAUCCAGCCAUGCCGCGUGUGUGAAGAAGGCCCUCGGGUUGUAAAGCACUUUCAGUGAGGAAGAACGCCUGGUGGUUAAUACCCAUCAGGAAAGACAUCACUCACAGAAGACGCACCGGCUAACUCCGUGCCAGCAGCCGCGGUAAUACGGAGGGUGCGAGCGUUAAUCGGAAUUACUGGGCGUAAAGCGCGCGUAGGUGGCUUGAUAAGCCGGUUGUGAAAGCCCCGGGCUCAACCUGGGAACGGCAUCCGGAACUGUCAAGCUAGAGUGCAGGAGAGGAAGGUAGAAUUCCCGGUGUAGCGGUGAAAUGCGUAGAGAUCGGGAGGAAUACCAGUGGCGAAGGCGGCCUUCUGGACUGACACUGACACUGAGGUGCGAAAGCGUGGGUAGCAAACAGGAUCAGAUGCUCUUGUAGUC